RNAcentral lists this ribosomal RNA (237 nucleotides) under uncultured bacterium. RNAcentral describes it as "partial 16S ribosomal RNA". It matches the Rfam family "Bacterial small subunit ribosomal RNA", at positions 96 to 334 of the family's 1533-position model. The record is from RNAcentral.
CGGCGAACGGGUGAGUAACACGUGGGCAACCUGCCCCUCACACUGGGAUAACCUCGGGAAACCGGGGCUAAUACCGGAUACGACCUCGAGCGGCAUCUCUUGAGGUGGAAAGCUCCGACGGUGAGGGAUGGGCCCGCGGCCUAUCAGCUAGUUGGUGGGGUAAUGGCCUACCAAGGCGACGACGGGUAGCCGGCCUGAGAGGGCGACCGGCCACACUGGGACUGAGACACGGCCCAG